GAUGAACGCUGGCGGCGUGCCUAAUACAUGCAAGUCGAGCGAACAGACGAGGAGCUUGCUCCUCUGACGUUAGCGGCGGACGGGUGAGUAACACGUGGAUAACCUACCUAUAAGACUGGGAUAACUUCGGGAAACCGGAGCUAAUACCGGAUAAUAUAUUGAACCGCAUGGUUCAAUAGUGAAAGACGGUUUUGCUGUCACUUAUAGAUGGAUCCGCGCCGCAUUAGCUAGUUGGUAAGGUAACGGCUUACCAAGGCAACGAUGCGUAGCCGACCUGAGAGGGUGAUCGGCCACACUGGAACUGAGACACGGUCCAGACUCCUACGGGAGGCAGCAGUAGGGAAUCUUCCGCAAUGGGCGAAAGCCUGACGGAGCAACGCCGCGUGAGGGAUGAAGGGCUUCGGAUCGUAAAACUCUGUUAUUAGGGAAGAACAAAUGUGUAAGUAACUAUGCACGUCUUGACGGUACCUAAUCAGAAAGCCACGGCUAACUACGU
This 496-nucleotide ribosomal RNA is filed under the name uncultured bacterium. RNAcentral describes it as "partial 16S ribosomal RNA". It matches the Rfam family "Bacterial small subunit ribosomal RNA", at positions 28 to 506 of the family's 1533-position model. The record is from RNAcentral.